This 1746-nucleotide unclassified non-coding RNA is filed under the name Hevea brasiliensis (rubber tree). Lineage: Eukaryota; Viridiplantae; Streptophyta; Magnoliopsida; Malpighiales; Euphorbiaceae. The record is from RNAcentral.
GGAUCCUUUCUGGGGCCAAUACAGAAACGGAGAGGAAGAGGGAGAUUGAGUGCAAGAACAAGCGAGCUAUGGCAGACAGAAGCUCAGCCACAAACACAGAGGAGGAUUUGCUUCUCAAGAGCUUCUUCGCUGAAGUCAGCGAAGUCGAGAGAGAUAACGAAGUCGUCAGGAUUCUUUCAUGCUUCAAGUUAAAUCCAUUUGAGUAUCUAAAUCUACCAUUUGAAGCAUCUCCAGUGGAAGUAAAGAAGCAGUAUCGUAAGUUGUCUUUGUUGGUUCAUCCUGACAAGUGCAAGCAUCCACAAGCAAAAGAGGCCUUUGCAGCAUUGGCAAAAGCCCAACAACUUUUACUUGAUGAACAAGAAAGAGAUUAUAUUCUUAGUCAAGUUACUGCAGCAAAAGAAGAACUUCUAGCGAAGAGGAGGAAACAAUUGAAGAAAGAUACAGCCAGUAAAAUAAAGUCAUUGGUUGAUGAGGUAUUUGUCCUUGACCAUUUUGCAGUUGUGUUUAUUUAGUUCAACAUGUAUCCAUUAAUUUUAAUGAUGCUGAGAUUCAUUUAAGUGCUAACCUGCAUCUCUCUCUGUUUGUCACAUUUCAUUCUUUGCCCCUUAUAUUUCUUUUCCAUCAGUUUUAAUUUUUAUUAUCUGUUACCAUUAUUGAUUGUUGCAUUUGAGAGUUACAUUGAAUGGAUAAAGUUUUCUUCUCAAUGUUUGUAGAACUUGAGAACUAUUAUUGUAUUUUGCAGAACUUCUUAAGCAAAUUUAUGUUUAAUGGUUCUACAAAUAUUCAUGGAGUAUCUAUUACCUUAUAAGUUUGAAUAUACUUCCACAUUUUUGUCUUAUUUUGCCACAUUUACUUAGAGGAAUUGGACCCUACUAUGGCCUUUUGGAAAUCUAAUCUUCAUCUUCAUUGUAUAUUUCUAUGUUUUGCUUCAAAAGUUAAUAAUUGCUGUAGUGAAUCGGUUGGUCUUCAACUCUACAAUUUGCAUAUGCGUCAAAUUGAACUUCUCCUCUUCCAAUAUAAGGCUUAAAUGUCAAAAAACCAGUAAACUCAUGCCUUUUGGAUGUGAGCUAGGGAAAAUAUGAACAACAAUAUGAACGGUCUGAGGAGUUCCAGCAGGAACUCAAAUUGAAGGUUCGAGAAAUAUUAACCGAGCAAGAAUGGCGAAGAAGGAAAAUGCAGAUGAGGAUAUCAGAAGAGGAAGGUCGAUUGAAGAAGGAUGAAGAAGAACAAAAGGAGAUGUGGAAGAGAAAGCGUGAACACGAGGAGCAGUGGGAAGGAACAAGAGAACAGAGGGUUUCAAGCUGGAGAGAUUUCAUGAAGACAGGAAAGAAGGGUAAAAAAGGAGAAAUUCGACCGCCGAAACUCAAGACAGAGGAUCCCAACAAAUCCUAUGUUCAAAGGCCUGUAAAGCGAGGUUAACUGUAGAUUGGGGGUCAACCAAGUUUUCUUGAGAGCUGAAGAGUGCUUUUAAUUGAAAGGAUUAAAACUUUAUAACAGUAAUAUAUUAAUACAUUUAAAAGAGAUUGUAUAAUACAUUUAUUAAUGUGUUUUAUUUUCAAAUCCUUGAAGAAUCAGUUCAAACAGUUACCUUGCAUUAGUUUUUGACAAAAUUGUAAAACAAAAGCUUGUACUACAAUUUUAUUGACUACCAACAAUGUGCCAAAAGCUGGUUUUGUCAUAGGAAAGCAAAAAAGCAAUAUUGCUUACAAAGAUGCUUCUGUAUGGAAAUGCAAAAAGCAAUAUUUG